GUAAUAGUCCUGUAAGUGAAACGAGAAGACCACGAGUUAUGAUCCAGAGUACCACGAGACACGUGAAACCUUGUGGGAAGCAGGGAGGACCACCUCCCAAGGCUAAAUACUACCUGAUGACCGAUAGUGAAGCAGUACCGUGAGGGAAAGGUGAAAAGAACCCCGGGAGGGGAGUGAAAUAGAACCUGAAACCGUGUGCCUACAACCGCUCAGAGCCCCUUAUGAGGGUGAUGAGGUGCUUUUUGUAGAACGAGCCAACGAGUUACGGUAUGUAGCAAGGUUAAGUACUUAAGGUACGGAGCCGAAGGGAAACCGAGUCUGAAUAGGGCGACUAGUUGCAUGCCGUAGACCCGAAACCGGGUGACCUAUCCAUGGCCAGGUUGAAGCGAGGGUAAAACCUCGUGGAGGACCGAACCACGUUGCUGUUGAAAAAGCAUGGGAUGAGCUGUGGAUAGCGGAGAAAUUCCAAUCGAACCCGGAGAUAGCUGGUUCUCUCCGAAAUAGCUUUAGGGCUAGCGUCGAGUAUGAGUAGUGGAGGUAGAGCACUGAAUGGGCUAGGGGGCAUAGCGCUUACCGAACCUUAUCAAACUCCGAAUGCCACAUACUUUGAGCUCGGCAGUCAGACUACGAAUGAUAAGAUCCGUGGUCAAAAGGGAAACAGCCCAGAUCGUCAGCUAAGGUCCCAAAGUGUAAGUUAAGUGGGAAAGGAUGUGAGAUUUCUAAGACAACUAGGAUGUUGGCUUAGAAGCAGCCAUUCAUUAAAAGAGUGCGUAAUAGCUCACUAGUCGAGAGAUCUUGCGCCGAAAAUGUAACGGGGCUAAACUUACCACCGAAGCUACGGGCUUGAACAUAGUUCAAGCGGUAGGAGAGCGUCGUAACCGGGCUGAAGUCGUACCGUAAGGAGCGGUGGACUGGUUACGAGUGAGAAUGUUGGCAUCAGUAGCGAGAUGUGGGUGAGAAUCCCACAGGCCGAAAACCUAAGGUUUCCUCAGGAAGGUUCGUCCGCUGAGGGUUAGUCGGGACCUAAGCCGAGGCCGAAAGGCGUAGGUGAUGGACAACUGGUUGAUAUUCCAGUACCACUACCAUCGUUAUUAUCGAUGGCGUGACGCAGGAGGAUAGUGUGUGCUAGCUAUUGGAUGCUAGUCUAAGCGUUUAGGCAGUGAGAGUAGGCAAAUCCGCUCUCAUAAUGCUGAGGCGUGAUGGGGAAGGUUCCACGGAACCGAAGUACAUGAUUCCACGCUGCCAAGAAAAGCGUCUAGAGAGAGAAGUAGUGCCCGUACCGCAAACCGACACAGGUAGGUGAGGAGAGAAUCCUAAGGCCGGCGGAAGAAUUACAGUUAAGGAACUCGGCAAAUUGACCCCGUAAGUUCGCGAGAAGGGGUGCCUACGAGAGUAGGCCGCAGAGAAUAGGCCCAAGCAACUGUUUAGCAAAAACACAGGUCUCUGCUAAAGCGUAAGCUGAUGUAUAGGGGCUGACGCCUGCCCGGUGCUGGAAGGUUAAGGGGAACACUUAGCGCAAGCGAAGGUGUGAACUUAAGCCCCAGUAAACGGCGGCCGUAACUAUAACGGUCCUAAGGUAGCGAAAUUCCUUGUCAGGUAAGUUCUGACCCGCACGAAUGGCGUAAUGACUUGGGCACUGUCUCAACUGUAAAUCCGGCGAAGUUGUAGUGCGAGUGAAGAUGCUCGCUACCCGCGAUUGGACGGAAAGACCCCGUAGAGCUUUACUGUAGCUUAGCAUUGAGUUUUGGUAUUGUCUGUACAGGAUAGGUGGGAGACUAGGAAACCAGGGCGUCAGCCUUGGUGGAGUCAACCUUGGGAUACCACCCUGACAGUACUGAAAUUCUAACUGGCGGCCAUGAAUCUGGUCACAGGACAUUGUUAGGUGGGCAGUUUGACUGGGGCGGUCGCCUCCUAAAAAGUAACGGAGGCGCCCAAAGGUUCCCUCAGAACGGUCGGAAAUCGUUCGAAGAGUGCAAAGGCAGAAGGGAGCCUGACUGCGACACCCACAAGUGGAGCAGGGACGAAAGUCGGGCUUAGUGAUCCGGUGGUACCUCGUGGGAGGGCCAUCGCUCAACGGAUAAAAGCUACCUCGGGGAUAACAGGCUGAUCUCCCCCAAGAGUCCACAUCGACGGGGAGGUUUGGCACCUCGAUGUCGGCUCGUCGCAUCCUGGGGCUGAAGUAGGUCCCAAGGGUUGGGCUGUUCGCCCAUUAAAGCGGCACGCGAGCUGGGUUCAGAACGUCGUGAGACAGUUCGGUCCCUAUCCGUCGCGGGCGUAGGAAAUUUGAGAGGAGCUGUCCUUAGUACGAGAGGACCGGGAUGGACUGACCUCUGGUGUACCAGUUGUUCCGC
This 2351-nucleotide ribosomal RNA is filed under the name Clostridium perfringens. RNAcentral describes it as "partial 23S ribosomal RNA". It matches the Rfam family "Bacterial large subunit ribosomal RNA", at positions 364 to 2729 of the family's 2925-position model. Lineage: Bacteria; Bacillati; Bacillota; Clostridia; Eubacteriales; Clostridiaceae. The record is from RNAcentral.